This 203-nucleotide ribosomal RNA is filed under the name Ixodes hirsti. Its description in RNAcentral is "partial large rRNA subunit". The stretch from base 1 to 116 matches the Rfam family "Bacterial large subunit ribosomal RNA", at positions 2527 to 2643 of the family's 2925-position model. Lineage: Eukaryota; Metazoa; Arthropoda; Arachnida; Ixodida; Ixodidae. The record is from RNAcentral.
CGAUGUUGGAUUAGGAUACUUAUUUAAUGAAGAAGUUAAAUAAAGAAGUUUGUUCAACUUUUAAUUUCCUACAUGAUCUGAGUUCAGACCGGCGUAAGCCAGGUUGGUUUCUAUCUUUAUUUAGAAUAUUUUUUAAUUAGUACGAAAGGAAUUUUAAAAAAUAAUUAUUUAUAAAAAAAAAUUUAAAAUAAUAUAUUAUUAUU